This 158-nucleotide transfer-messenger RNA is filed under the name Gammaproteobacteria bacterium. RNAcentral describes it as "partial transfer-messenger RNA". It matches the Rfam family "transfer-messenger RNA", at positions 1 to 163 of the family's 374-position model. Rfam says of the family: Bacterial tmRNA, also known as 10Sa RNA or SsrA, is named for its dual tRNA and mRNA-like properties. Its role is to liberate the mRNA from a stalled ribosome. Lineage: Bacteria; Pseudomonadati; Pseudomonadota; Gammaproteobacteria. The record is from RNAcentral.
GGGGGCGAUCGGCUUCGACGUGGGUCGCGAACCCUCAGGUGCAUGCCGAGGCGCAGACAACCUCGUAAAACCAGCUGCAAACAACUUAGUUGCCAACGACGACAACUACGCUCUAGCUGCUUAAAAACCAGCCUAGUGCCUUCCGCCCGGCUCGUGCU